CCUGUAGCUCAAUUGGAUAGAGCAACGGCCUUCUAAGCCGUAGGUUGCAGGUUCGAGCCCUGCCAGG
RNAcentral lists this transfer RNA (67 nucleotides) under Alloalcanivorax venustensis. It matches the Rfam family "tRNA". Rfam says of the family: Transfer RNA (tRNA) molecules are approximately 80 nucleotides in length. RNAcentral also lists the same sequence under 2 other names. The record is from RNAcentral. Lineage: Bacteria; Pseudomonadati; Pseudomonadota; Gammaproteobacteria; Oceanospirillales; Alcanivoracaceae.